UGGGGAAUAUUGCACAAUGGGCGCAAGCCUGAUGCAGCAACGCCGCGUGAGGGACGACGGCCUUCGGGUUGUAAACCUCUUUUAGUAGGGAAGAAGCGAAAGUGACGGUACCUGCAGAAAAAGCACCGGCUAACUACGUGCCAGCAGCCGCGGUAAUACGUAGGGUGCGAGCGUUGUCCGGAAUUAUUGGGCGUAAAGAGCUCGUAGGCGGUCUGUCGCGUCUGCUGUGAAAACCCGAGGCUCAACCUCGGGCCUGCAGUGGGUACGGGCAGACUAGAGUGCGGUAGGGGAGAAUGGAAUUCCUGGUGUAGCGGUGGAAUGCGCAGAUAUCAGGAGGAACACCGAUGGCGAAGGCAGUUCUCUGGGCCGUAACUGACGCUGAGGAGCGAAAGCGUGGGGAGCGAACAGGAUUAGAUACCCUGGUAGUCCACGCCGUAAACGUUGGGCGCUAGAUGUGGGGACCAUUCCACGGUUUCCGUGUCGCAGCUAACGCAUUAAGCGCCCCGCCUGGGGCAGUACGGCCGCAAGGCUAAAACU
This 537-nucleotide ribosomal RNA is filed under the name uncultured bacterium. Its description in RNAcentral is "partial 16S ribosomal RNA". It matches the Rfam family "Bacterial small subunit ribosomal RNA", at positions 355 to 901 of the family's 1533-position model. The record is from RNAcentral.